GAUGAACGCUGGCGGCGUGCCUAAUACAUGCAAGUCGAGCGAACAGACGAGGAGCUUGCUCCUCUGACGUUAGCGGCGGACGGGUGAGUAACACGUGGAUAACCUACCUAUAAGACUGGGAUAACUUCGGGAAACCGGAGCUAAUACCGGAUAAUAUAUUGAACCGCAUGGUUCAAUAGUGAAAGACGGUUUUGCUGUCACUUAUAGAUGGAUCCGCGCCGCAUUAGCUAGUUGGUAAGGUAACGGCUUACCAAGGCAACGAUGCGUAGCCGACCUGAGAGGGUGAUCGGCCACACUGGAACUGAGACACGGUCCAGACUCCUACGGGAGGCAGCAGUAGGGAAUCUUCCGCAAUGGGCGAAAGCCUGACGGAGCAACGCCGCGUGAGUGAUGAAGGUCUUCGGAUCGUAAAACUCUGUUAUUAGGGAAGAACAAAUGUGUAAGUAACUAUGCACGUCUUGACGGUACGUAAUCAGAAAGCCACGGCUAACUACGUG
This 497-nucleotide ribosomal RNA is filed under the name uncultured bacterium. Its description in RNAcentral is "partial 16S ribosomal RNA". It matches the Rfam family "Bacterial small subunit ribosomal RNA", at positions 28 to 507 of the family's 1533-position model. The record is from RNAcentral.